CGCAUCCCUCUCCCCCCAAAAUCAGGAAACCGUAGGCCCCCAAAAUUGAAGAAGCCCUCAUCCGCGCCUGAUCUCUCUGCUCCCAAAAUCCAUCCCUCUCCAACAUUUCUUAGGGUUUCCCCCCAAAACCAAACCGCGUCCCUCUCUCCCGAAAAUCCGAGAAAUCCUAAUGCCCCAAGAAUCGGAAAAACCCUCUUUCGUGCCCAAUCUCUCUGCUCCUGAAAUCCAGAUAUUUCUCUCUAAUAUCUUUUAGGGUUUCUUCUAAAAAACCCUAGAUCUGAUUUCCACAUACUGAAUUGAUCGUCGGCUGCUUGGAUCAAUCCUUUUCUCUUCUUUUGUCAUGUAAUGGAUCGAUCAGAUUUCGGAUCUUUCUUAGAUUCAUUGCCGGCCGCAAGCCCAAGAUGUCCUCAACAGAUUCUGUCGCUCUUCUGAGAAAUAGAAUCGUCGGACGGAUAGAUCUCAGUCCUCCAGAUCGUCCAAUCCCCGAUCUAACGGAUCAGAUCCACCAGCUCCCUUGCUGCAUCAGGCUCAAUGGCCCUUGUCCCAUCUCCGACUACUUCAAGCCCAAAAAGACUGGCAUCGUUGUUGAUUCCAUGGGUUUUUUGGAUUUGGAUUUGCCUCAUAUCCAUGGGUUUAUGGAUGUAUGAAUUUGGCAAAUCCCCAACAAAAAACAAACAUGGGAGAUUUUAAAUCCAUGGAUUCACAAAUCCUUGCUCCUAAUCCCUCACCUCAAAUGGCUCCUAUUUUUUGCGGCAAAGAGCAGAGCUUUCUGUUUUGGUUCUAUAUUCAAUUUGGGUUUGUUUGGAUUCCACCAUUUUUAUGGUUUUGCAGUCUGCCUUAGGUGAGUUACUGACCCCUGUUUCAAUUCCUCUCUAUUUUGAUAUUUUCAAUUACUAUUUUCUAUACUUAUAAAUUCCAAUUCAUGAAAUUGAUGAAUGCUCGAGCUGGAAGAAUCUUUUGCUUUAUUUCCCUUUCUGCUAUCUAUAUUAAGCAUCAGGGGGCUGACUUAUUAUAAUUGGAAAAUUGGGAGGAUUCUGAAAGCUAAUCGUCGUCUAGUUCAAUGUCCGGUGGGUUUUUGUUGUUUUGAUUUGGGGGAAUGACUCUUUUAUUUGGAUCAUAUUUUAGAUGCACUUUGGCUUCGGUAUGAAACUUCGGAUACCAUUUUGGGUCAUCAUUUGGAUUUUUUUUGAUGCAGAAGUUUCUUUGAUGCAGAAAACAAUUGUAAGCUUUUGUUUGUUGCUAGUAAGUUUUGAAUUCCAAUUUCCUUUGGUUAGUAAAGGUUCAAUUUCAGGAAUUUAUGCAAUACGCAUGAUUGAUAUCCUUGAUAUAUCAGAGGCGUAUAGCUCACAUAGUAGAGCAGUUUGCAUGGGAGCAAUACGGGGUCCAUUCCCCUGCAUCUGUACUCUGAAGCCUAUUCUAGAAGACAAUGUACACCAGUUCUUAAAUGCUGGUGAUACUCUAUCUAGAUGAUACCCAGGAUUUGGAGGGCUCGGCUUACCUUAAUGUAUGCCACAUGUACUUUGGAUUUGUCACUACCGUUUUCUUCUUUGGUGGGAAUAAAAAGGGAUGGGUACAAUAAGGGGUCCAAUGUGUGGAAAACUAUAAACAAGGUUGUUACCAUCCGAUUGUACAGUAA
Molecule: long non-coding RNA, 1636 nt
Organism: Magnolia sinica
Lineage: Eukaryota; Viridiplantae; Streptophyta; Magnoliopsida; Magnoliales; Magnoliaceae
Exons: 2
Source: RefSeq, a predicted model, not a curated record